AGAAUAGGACAGGGAAGCCCGCGUGGAGGGCUGAGAGGAAGCACAGGCUUCGGCCCUUUUACCUGAUGCGGAUAAUGCCGCCGUAGGGAGUCUUAAAGAGAGGAUC
RNAcentral lists this non-coding RNA (106 nucleotides) under Eubacterium sp. Its description in RNAcentral is "TPP sequence". It matches the Rfam family "TPP riboswitch aptamer (THI element)". From Rfam's summary of the family: Vitamin B(1) in its active form thiamin pyrophosphate (TPP) is an essential coenzyme that is synthesised by coupling of pyrimidine and thiazole moieties in bacteria. The previously detected thiamin-regulatory element, thi box was extended, resulting in a new, highly conserved RNA secondary structure, the THI element, which is widely distributed in eubacteria and also occurs in some archaea. Lineage: Bacteria; Bacillati; Bacillota; Clostridia; Eubacteriales; Eubacteriaceae. The record is from RNAcentral.